Molecule: small RNA, 124 nt
Filed under: Marmota monax (woodchuck)
Lineage: Eukaryota; Metazoa; Chordata; Mammalia; Rodentia; Sciuridae
Source: RNAcentral
GUCAGGUGUGGUGGUGCACACCUGUAAUCCCAGCAGCUCAGGAGGCUGAGGCAGGAGGAUCACAAGUUCAAAGCCUGACUCAGCAAUGACGAGGCACUAAGCAACUAGUGAGACCCUGUCUCUA